CCUCUGAGGCAAGACUAUGGCGCCAAAGUCAACCUCUUCUCCCACUUGCACCAGUACAGCCGGAAGGUGCCGCUGACCCAGCAGAUGAGCAUCCCCGCCACGGCAAUCCAUCCGGCCGUGGUGCGGCUCGGCCUGCAGUACUCCCAGGGGCUGCUGAACGGCUCCAACGCACGCUGCCUCGCCCUGCUGCAAGUCUUCAGACAGGUGAUCCGGGAUUACUCAACGCCGCCCAACGAGGAGCUCUCGCGAGACCUGGUGGCCAGGCUGAAGCCCUA
This is a long non-coding RNA of Terrapene triunguis (Three-toed box turtle), 275 nucleotides long. RefSeq lists it as uncharacterized. The transcript is spliced from 3 exons. NCBI's taxonomy places the organism in Eukaryota, Metazoa, Chordata, Testudines, Emydidae. The record is from RefSeq and is a predicted model, not a curated record.